RNAcentral lists this ribosomal RNA (254 nucleotides) under uncultured bacterium. Its description in RNAcentral is "partial 16S ribosomal RNA". It matches the Rfam family "Bacterial small subunit ribosomal RNA", at positions 524 to 777 of the family's 1533-position model. The record is from RNAcentral.
UACGGAGGGUGCGAGCGUUGUCCGGAAUCACUGGGCGUAAAGGGCGCGUAGGUGGCGACCCAAGUCGAUGGUGAAAGCUCGCCGCUCAACGGCGAGUCGGCCACCGAUACUGGGUUGCUGGAGCACUGUAGAGGCUCAUGGAAUUCCGGGUGUAGCGGUGGAAUGCGUAGAGAUCCGGAAGAACACCGGUGGCGAAGGCGGUGAGCUGGGCAGUUGCUGACACUGAGGCGCGACAGCGUGGGGAGCAAACAGGG